Molecule: long non-coding RNA, 1421 nt
Filed under: Sinocyclocheilus rhinocerous
Lineage: Eukaryota; Metazoa; Chordata; Actinopteri; Cypriniformes; Cyprinidae
Description: lncRNA (ENSSRHG00000007759.1)
Source: RNAcentral
AUACUAGCAUAGUACUCAUGUUUGGCAGAAAUAGUAUCAUGCUAUAUAAGCUAUUCCAAAUGUAAGAGUAUGGAAGCGAACGAAUGAUUCUUGUACUUAAAAGAUUUGAUCAAAAACACGCAUUCGUUCUCGCGCAGUUUUGCAUCCGGGAUUUUUCGAGGUUUGCACCUGCCUUUAGGCUACAGCGAAAGUAUUGACAUGGGUGCACCGAGCCAAGACAGCACAUGCCUGAAACAUCACACCAGAUUGUUCUGCAUGGAUCAGUCAGAGAAACUCAAAAGUGGGGCCCUUAUGUGUGUGGAGACAGGAGGCCUCAUUGUUCCUGUAACUGAUCAUGUGGAAGUUUUGGAAAGAUGUGAGAAUGCAACAGAACCUGUCACACACCACUCAUUAAACACUCAAGACUUAGAUAUUUGCUGCAACACUACACCUGUAAACUGGCAAAUCAACAGUUUGUAACAAAAGCUAAAGGUGGGUUUGUGUGAGGACAAAUGGUCAGUGUUGUGGCAAUGCUGAAAUUGUAUCUUUGAGACGAAUACCGACCAAACCAUGGAUUAAAGCCGACUGAUCUUGGUUGUGGGACAAGGAAAACAACUCCAUGCUGAGCAGUGUUGGUUUGAAGCAGAGAGAAUAACCUCAUUGAGAAUCACAGCUUGGUACAAAACAGUUUCCCUCUCACUGGCCUCUAUCUUUCUAGUUGCAGGUGGGGAGCACAAGCCAACAUGGACAAAACUGAAUGCCUCCCCAUCUUUGUCUCCAAACAAAUCUCAAGACGGAACACACGCUGUGUCAUAACCAAAUCAGACAAUCACCCGUAGAGUGUAAGAAAUGUAUGAAAUGUGCAUUUCAAAGAGCAGCCAUGGGGUUUUUCUAACAAGGUGUUCUCAAAUAAUCGAGCUUUAAUGUUCCCAGCCUAUAGGGAAAUAUGCAGUAGAUCUUCAUUUGGCAUUGAAUAAUGCAGAAAUGCUCAACAAUGACUCCCUGGUUAUGGGCUGUAAUUGCAUCCCAUUUUCAUUCUGCCCUGUUCUCGUGCCUAUUUAAAGUAAUGUCAUUGCAGGUGCAUUAAUGCGCUAAUCAGAGUGUCAAAUUUUUGAAACUUAAAGACCAAAUUUUAGUCACCUUGUUUGUGUGCAGAGCAAUACACCCUCUCCCCAUUUGUGACAUACUGUACCCUCCUAAAAUACUAAAUUAUUGAUCAUGACUGACUUGUGCUAAAAAGACUUUAGUGAAAGGACUUUCACAAAACAUCCCUUCAACAGGUGAAAAACCUCCAUAAACUCAAUUUGGCCUUGACAUUGCUGAAGAAGGCUGCAAAUGAUACAAGUUUAAGUCUUGGAUUAUGGUGCAUUUGGUUAACAGUGUUUAUUCAGAAUUGCUGCUAAUAGAGACAAAUAAAAUCAUGAUGCCCCCCCCCUCAUUUU